UUGUGAUGAACUUCAAAAACAAUAAUUCUAAGUGGAAGACCUAUAAAGGAAUUGUGAAUAAUGAAGAAAAGGUGUUUCAGGGUAACUCUAACUUUCGGGACCCAGUGCAAAACAAUUUCAUCCCUCCCAUCGUGGCCAGAUAUGUGCGGGUUGUCCCCCAGACAUGGCACCAGAGGAUAGCCUUGAAGGUGGAGCUCAUUGGUUGCCAGAUUACACAAGGUAAUGAUUCAUUGGUGUGGCGCAAGACAAGUCAAAGCACCAGUGUUUCAACUAAGAAAGAAGAUGAGACAAUCACAAGGCCCAUCCCCUCGGAAGAAACAUCCACAGGAAGAAGAAGAAAGGAAGUCCGUAUGGAUCAGCAGAGGCUCAGAAAACAGACUGUUGGAAGCAGAUUAAAUAUCCCUUUGCCAGACAUCAGUCAGCUGAGUUUACCAUCAGCUAUGAUAAUGAGAAGGAGAUGACACAAAAGUUAGAUCUCAUCACAAGUGAUAUGGCAGAUUACCAGCAGCCCCUCAUGAUUGGCACCGGGACAGUCACGAGGAAGGGCUCCACCUUCCGGCCCAUGGACAC
Molecule: small RNA, 570 nt
Filed under: Pan troglodytes (chimpanzee)
Lineage: Eukaryota; Metazoa; Chordata; Mammalia; Primates; Hominidae
Description: processed transcript
Source: RNAcentral